GCAGUCGACGCUUUGUGGUUCAACUGAUUUGAAGAGCUUGCUCAGAUAUGACGAUGGACAUUGCAAAGAGUGGCGAACGGGUGAGUAACACGUGGGAAACCUACCUCUUAGCAGGGGAUAACAUUUGGAAACAGAUGCUAAUACCGUAUAACAAUAGCAACCGCAUGGUUGCUACUUAAAAGAUGGUUCUGCUAUCACUAAGAGAUGGUCCCGCGGUGCAUUAGUUAGUUGGUGAGGUAAUGGCUCACCAAGACGAUGAUGCAUAGCCGAGUUGAGAGACUGAUCGGCCACAAUGGGACUGAGACACGGCCCAUACUCCUACGGGAGGCAGCAGUAGGGAAUCUUCCACAAUGGGCGAAAGCCUGAUGGAGCAACGCCGCGUGUGUGAUGAAGGGUUUCGGCUCGUAAAACACUGUUGUAAGAGAAGAAUGACAUUGAGAGUAACUGUUCAAUGUGUGACGGUAUCUUACCAGAAAGGAACGGCUAAAUACGUGCCAGCAGCCGCGGUAAUACGUAUGUUCCAAGCGUUAUCCGGAUUUAUUGGGCGUAAAGCGAGCGCAGACGGUUAUUUAAGUCUGAAGUGAAAGCCCUCAGCUCAACUGAGGAAUUGCUUUGGAAACUGGAUGACUUGAGUGCAGUAGAGGAAAGUGGAACUCCAUGUGUAGCGGUGAAAUGCGUAGAUAUAUGGAAGAACACCAGUGGCGAAGGCGGCUUUCUGGACUGUAACUGACGUUGAGGCUCGAAAGUGUGGGUAGCAAACAGGAUUAGAUACCCUGGUAGUCCACACCGUAAACGAUGAG
This 800-nucleotide ribosomal RNA is filed under the name Weissella cibaria. RNAcentral's name for it is "bacterial SSU rRNA". It matches the Rfam family "Bacterial small subunit ribosomal RNA", at positions 57 to 813 of the family's 1533-position model. The record is from RNAcentral. Lineage: Bacteria; Bacillati; Bacillota; Bacilli; Lactobacillales; Lactobacillaceae.